UUGGUCGAAGAGGAGCCGUAGGUGAAAACAGCCUUCGUUCUGCUGGCACACAUUACCUGCAGAAGCUUCUGGGGUAUAAGGGGAACAAUGGUUGCAGGGCGGAAUUCUGACACAGAAGCACACUUUACAGGUAGCAAUCACUGUUGUUAAUCAAAUUCUUAGCCGUUAGUGCUUGGCAGCACUGGUGGCUGGUCUGGUUUUCUCACCAGACCAGUCCUGUGGCAGAGGUAUCUGCAACACCCUUGGAAGCUGAAACUUCAUCUCCAGCCCUUCUAGGGGUUCUUAGGAGCCAGCUGACAGUUUGUAUGAAGUAACUUUUCUGCUGAAAUUAGCCUUAGAUUUAUUUGCAUGGAUUGCCUCACUACUGGAGGACAUUUGGUGAAGUCAUGGAGCUGGCUCAUCAUAUGCCUACAUUGGCCUUUCCAUUUUUGGCUUUGUUGGGCUACAGUGUGCCUGCAUUUCAUCUCACCUGAUUGCCUACCUUGUCUUCAUGCUAUCCUCAACAAAUUUCUCUGCAUUCAAGUAAAGCUACAUCAGAAUUGGAGUUUGUUUCUUCUUAUGAAAGUAUCCAGAUUUGCUUUUUCUGGACACUUCAUAUAUAUGGGAUUGUGCAAUACAUACUAAAACCCACCAAACUAUACAUUUAAAACAGGUGAAUUUUAUGGCAUAUAAACUGGAUCUCGAUAAAGCUACUAAACAAAUCUAUCCAGAUAAGAACGGGGAAAUCUCAGGAAGCAACCGGAGUUAGGGUGCACUUUGGAAAUUUAAAGUAAUAAAUAUGGAAUGUAUGCAUUAAGUAGUAUAAUCUGGGUUUCGAAAUAAGUGCUAAAAGCACAAAAGACACUAGGGUCCCAGGCAAUAGGUAGUUCAAUUCUAGCAGAAACUGUACUUUUCUUUCUGGCUGCUUAAUUAUUUAAUCAAUUUAACCAAGCUCGCCAAUUCUUUUCUUGAAGACAAAUCAUCAAGGAAGUGAAAGAAUACAGGUAACCCAGUGGCAGCACAUCAGCUGGAUGUUGGGAGCCCCAGAGAGAUAUCUCAUUCUAUCUACCAUGUAAGAACACAGCAAGAAGUCAGUGGUCUGCAACCCAGAAGAGGGCCUUCACCAGAACAGAGGGACCCCUCCACAACAAUGCCAGCAAACCGAUC
Long non-coding RNA from Herpailurus yagouaroundi (jaguarundi), 1146 nucleotides. RefSeq lists it as uncharacterized. The transcript is spliced from 3 exons. The record is from RefSeq and is a predicted model, not a curated record. NCBI's taxonomy places the organism in Eukaryota, Metazoa, Chordata, Mammalia, Carnivora, Felidae.